Molecule: RNA transcript, 1088 nt
Organism: Ipomoea triloba (trilobed morning glory)
Lineage: Eukaryota; Viridiplantae; Streptophyta; Magnoliopsida; Solanales; Convolvulaceae
Exons: 2
Source: RefSeq, a predicted model, not a curated record
AACCCUAGCGCGAACUCUAGCAGAAAACACAUCAAAUCUUUCUCUAGCCACAGCAUCUAUCUAUCUGCAAUGCAAUGAAGACAAUAUCAGGGAAAGUAAUAUCAACGAAGCCGGUUUCUCUUUCCGAUGCCGCCGUUAUUAUCUCCGAUUUCGCGGCCACGGAAACUGGGGCUUCCGAUGCUGUGUCUGUCUAUAUCAGACGCGCCGCUGAUGCAUUCAAUCAAUUGGUUCAGUUUCACCACGAUCUUCGCUAUCCAAACUCUGGGACCAAGUUCCUUGCAAAGGAACGCGUUGAUUAUGCGCUAAAAAGCUCGCAAAAUCGCGAGAUUUUUGUUAAACAAGAAGAAUCUGUAAAGGUUGAGCAAUUUCCAGAAGAGAAGUUACAGAAGAAGAAGCACAAGAAGCAAGGGAAUGACAAAAUCAGAGAUUUAGAUGUGAAGAAAGAAGCUUUUGUUAAAACUGAGCCAGACUCUCUUGCAACCGAAGAAAACAGGAAAAAUAAGAAGUAUGGUGCGGAGAAAGUGAAGAAAGAAGAUAAGGUCAAGAUUGAAAAGGGCGAAGAAGAUGGGAAAUACCAGGAAAGUAACUAUGAGAAGGUGAAGACUGAACCAGAGGUUGAUGUAGUUGAGGGAGAUAGUAUGAAGAAGAAGGAUAAGAAAAAUAAAAAGAGAAAAUUGAGUGAAGGCAAUGAGGGUGAAGGAGGAGAGACUUUGGUGGUUGAGACAAAGAAGAGGAAGAGUGAAGAUAUUGAUGGUUCAGCUGAGCAGAAUAGUAAGAAAAAAAAGAGUAAAAAGCAGAGAGUUGAAGCCAAAUAGUUUCAAAGUGGCCUUAUUCAUGGUGGAUUGUUGUUGUGCUGUUAUUUGUUAAUUAGGUCUGGCUGAAGCUUUUGUAAUCUUUCAAUGAAAGCAAUUUUUUGGAAUGAUUAUUGCCAGAAGGUGUUUCAUCUCUCGGUGUACAAAUACUUUUUCUCUUCUUGCGCAAUACACAUAACUAUGCUUUGAUUUCUACUUCUCUUCGUUGAGUUCAUUCAGUGGUAGUAUUCAAUGUUCUUUUGCCAGAGACUAGAUAAAUUGAUGCAUAAAUGCAUU